AGUGAACGCUGGCGGCAUGCCUAACACAUGCAAGUCGAACGGUAACAGGCCCGCAAGGGUGCUGACGAGUGGCGGACGGGUGAGGAAUACAUCGGAAUUUGCCCAGUCGUGGGGGAGUAACGUAGAGAAACUUACGCUAAUACCGCAUACGACCUAACGGUGAAAGACGGGGACCGUGCAAGGGCCGUCGCGCGGAUGGAUAAGCCGAUGUCGGAUUAGCUAGUUGGCGGGGUAAGAGCCCACCAAGGCGACGAUCCGUAGCUGGUCUGAGAGGAUGAUCAGCCACACUGGGACUGAGACACGGCCCAGACUCCUACGGGAGGCAGCAGUGGGGAAGUAUUGGACAAUGGGGGCGAACCCU
RNAcentral lists this ribosomal RNA (361 nucleotides) under uncultured bacterium. RNAcentral describes it as "bacterial SSU rRNA". It matches the Rfam family "Bacterial small subunit ribosomal RNA", at positions 30 to 384 of the family's 1533-position model. The record is from RNAcentral.